AGAACCUUCAUUAAGUUGAUAACUGACCUUUAAUGAUCUUUACUGACUAACAAUUUGGUUGAAAAUUGGCAAAUACUGGCUGUUUGGUGAUUGGUUUCAAUGACUUUCUGGAUUGGCAAGAUCUCUGGUUGGAAUGGAUGGUGAAAAUUUCGAGGGACAGAUGUCAAAAAUGCGAAACUCGAAGUCACUAGAAUAUUUACUUGUUCAAAAACUGAAAACAGAACCAGAAGUCAUGUUGGACAGCUUCUUUGUAUUUCUUUUAUGAUGGUGCUUUGUCACUUAUGACUGAUUUAAGCAUCUUGGCUUAAAGACGAGUUUUUG
This 321-nucleotide unclassified non-coding RNA is filed under the name Hevea brasiliensis (rubber tree). The record is from RNAcentral. Lineage: Eukaryota; Viridiplantae; Streptophyta; Magnoliopsida; Malpighiales; Euphorbiaceae.